Molecule: long non-coding RNA, 424 nt
Organism: Uranotaenia lowii
Lineage: Eukaryota; Metazoa; Arthropoda; Insecta; Diptera; Culicidae
Exons: 2
Source: RefSeq, a predicted model, not a curated record
UCCAAAAUGGCGCUCGAAAAGUUUGUUUUUAUUGCGACGGUACCAGCAAAGAAAAGCGCCAAAGUCCUGCUCAAAUAUGUCUUCGGAGGGAGAGGAUCCUUUUCGGUGGUCACUUCUGGAGUGGUUGCUGUGUUGAUGAAUUUCAUUCGUACGAAGGUGAAAAAGAGUUGUGCCCAAAAGUGUUGGCACGGAGACCGGAUGCGUUUUGAGGCUUUUCACCGAUAAAUGAAGCGCGCUAAUUGGGUCCAUGCAAGCAGAAAGGGCCUUGGAUGUAUUACUGGAUGAACACGGGUGACAUCCCAAUUCGAUGAUGGGCGCGAAGUCGCUUGCCAGCCCGGAAAGCCUCUAUGUGUGUAUGUUUUUUUGUAAGCAAAAUAAACCAAACUUAGAAAUGAAGUUUAGUGAAAAUGUGUUUUGUUAAAUA